Long non-coding RNA from Girardinichthys multiradiatus, 462 nucleotides. RefSeq lists it as uncharacterized. The record is from RefSeq and is a predicted model, not a curated record. Lineage: Eukaryota; Metazoa; Chordata; Actinopteri; Cyprinodontiformes; Goodeidae. The transcript is spliced from 2 exons.
CUCUUUGCUCUGUCCGUCGCUUCCAUAGACAGAAGAAACUGACCCUCAGACAGACGGAGUCUUUCGGCUAAUCCUCCUUCAUUCUGGCCGAGGUUGCUGAAACACUCCUUCACACAAACGAAGAGGAUUUUCUCCACGGAUGUCGACACGUUUCCAUGAAAAAUACAUUUAACCAGGAACUCCGAAGAGGUUCUGAUCCAGGAGGACGGUGUAAUGACUGGUGUGGGUUAAUACAUCCAACAACAGAACAUUUAGAUUUAACCGCUUGCUGCUUCGGCGUCCUUCAACUUGAACUACAAGAAUACUGCGAGAAACAAAAUGGCGGAUUCGCUGGAUUGGUUAACAGGUGUUGUGUGAAAUUCUGUUCCCCUGAAAUAUUCUGUUCCCCCUGUGUCGGGAGCGCGCACUGCAGCCAGAGAGACGGAUCCGACCGUCUUCACAGCUUUUCUGAUCAAUUUGUCG